AACAACUUGUAGCAGCUAUAUAUUUCCCCUUGGUCCCAAGCCUGAUACUUUAGCCAUCAUAACUCACUAACAGGGAGAAGUAGCUAGUAGCAAUGUGCCUUGAUUGAUUAGAUAAAGAUUUCUAGUAGGCAGCAAAAGACCAAAUCUCAGUUGUUUGCUUCUUGCCAUCACUGGUCCAGGUCUUCAGUUUCCGAAUCUCUUUCCCUUCCCCUGUGGUCUAUUGUCGCUAUGUGACUUGCGCUUAAUCCAAUAUUUUGCCUUUUUUCUAUAUCAAAAAACCUUUACAGUUAGCAGGGAU
Molecule: long non-coding RNA, 298 nt
Filed under: Homo sapiens (human)
Lineage: Eukaryota; Metazoa; Chordata; Mammalia; Primates; Hominidae
Description: non-protein coding lnc-DNAH9-4:1
Source: RNAcentral